UGGGGAAUAUUGCACAAUGGGGGAAACCCUGAUGCAGCGACGCCGCGUGAGUGAAGAAGUAUCUCGGUAUGUAAAGCUCUAUCAGCAGGGAAGAAAGAAAUGACGGUACCUGAGUAAGAAGCCCCGGCUAACUACGUGCCAGCAGCCGCGGUAAUACGUAGGGGGCAAGCGUUAUCCGGAAUUACUGGGUGUAAAGGGAGCGUAGACGGUGAAGUAAGUCUGGAGUGAAAGGCGGGGGCCCAACCCCCGGACUGCUCUGGAAACUAUUUGACUGGAGUGCAGGAGAGGUAAGCGGAAUUCCUAGUGUAGCGGUGAAAUGCGUAGAUAUUAGGAGGAACACCAGUGGCGAAGGCGGCUUACUGGACUGUAACUGACGUUGAGGCUCGAAAGCGUGGGGAGCAAACAGG
Molecule: ribosomal RNA, 407 nt
Filed under: uncultured bacterium
Lineage: Bacteria
Description: bacterial SSU rRNA
Rfam family: Bacterial small subunit ribosomal RNA
Source: RNAcentral